CCUACGGGAGGCAGCAGUGAGGAAUAUUGGUCAAUGGGCGUAAGCCUGACCCAGCAACGCCGCGUGAAUGAUGAAGGUCUUCGGAUUGUAAAGUUCUGUGAUGGGGGAUGAACACAAUGACGGUACCCCAAUAGCAAGCCACGGCUAACUACGUGCCAGCAGCCGCGGUAAUACGUAGGUGGCAAGCGUUAUCCGGAAUGACUGGGCGUAAGGGGUGCGUAGGUGGUUUAGUAAGUUGGCGGUGUAAUUCCGGGGCUCAACCUCGGCGCUACCGCCAAAACUAUUAGACUAGAGUGCAGGAGGGGUAAGUGGAAUUCCUAGUGUAGCGGUGGAAUGCGUAGAUAUUAGGAGGAACAUCAGGGGCGAAGGCGACUUACUGGACUGUAACUGACACUGAGGCACGAAAGCGUGGGGAGCAAACAGGAUUAGAUACCCUUGUAGUC
Molecule: ribosomal RNA, 443 nt
Filed under: uncultured bacterium
Lineage: Bacteria
Description: partial 16S ribosomal RNA
Rfam family: Bacterial small subunit ribosomal RNA
Source: RNAcentral